RNAcentral lists this ribosomal RNA (420 nucleotides) under uncultured bacterium. RNAcentral describes it as "bacterial SSU rRNA". It matches the Rfam family "Bacterial small subunit ribosomal RNA", at positions 356 to 773 of the family's 1533-position model. The record is from RNAcentral.
AAGGAAUAUUGGACAAUGGCGGCAACGCUGAUCCAGCUAUCCCGCGUGCAGGAUGAAGGGGCUACGCCUUGUAAACUGCUUUAGACUGAGACGAAAAAAUGGGAUUUAUCCUAUAUUGACGGUAUCAGUAGAAUAAGCACCGGCUAACUCCGUGCCAGCAGCCGCGGUAAUACGGAGGGUGCAAGCGUUAUCCGGAAUCACUGGGUAUAAAGGGUGCGUAGGCGGCUUGUUAAGUCAGGAGUGAAAGGCCACAGCUUAACUGUGGGAUUGCUUUUGAUACUGGCGAGCUUGGAUUAGGACGAGGUUGGCGGAAUGUGGCAAGUAGCGGUGAAAUGCAUAGAUAUGCCAUAGAAUACCGAUUGCGAAGGCAGCUGACUAGACCUAUAUUGACGCUGAGGCACGAAAGCGUGGGGAGCGAAC